RNAcentral lists this non-coding RNA (84 nucleotides) under Syntrophobotulus glycolicus. RNAcentral describes it as "c-di-GMP sequence". It matches the Rfam family "c-di-GMP-I riboswitch aptamer". From Rfam's summary of the family: GEMM was predicted in a large-scale screen for bacterial structured RNA regulatory elements. The record is from RNAcentral. Lineage: Bacteria; Bacillati; Bacillota; Clostridia; Eubacteriales; Desulfitobacteriaceae.
UGACGAUAAGAGCACACCUUCCGAAAGGAUGGGCCGCAAAGUCACGGGUCUAAAGCGAUUUGCCAGGAUUGCCGGACUGCCGAA